This 240-nucleotide ribosomal RNA is filed under the name Streptococcus agalactiae. Its description in RNAcentral is "partial 16S ribosomal RNA". It matches the Rfam family "Bacterial small subunit ribosomal RNA", at positions 1 to 231 of the family's 1533-position model. The record is from RNAcentral. Lineage: Bacteria; Bacillati; Bacillota; Bacilli; Lactobacillales; Streptococcaceae.
UUUAAUGAGAGUUUGAUCCUGGCUCAGGACGAACGCUGGCGGCGUGCCUAAUACAUGCAAGUAGAACGCUGAGGUUUGGUGUUUACACUAGACUGAUGAGUUGCGAACGGGUGAGUAACGCGUAGGUAACCUGCCUCAUAGCGGGGGAUAACUAUUGGAAACGAUAGCUAAUACCGCAUAAGAGUAAUUAACACAUGUUAGUUAUUUAAAAGGAGCAAUUGCUUCACUGUGAGAUGGACC